RNAcentral lists this ribosomal RNA (425 nucleotides) under uncultured bacterium. Its description in RNAcentral is "partial 16S ribosomal RNA". It matches the Rfam family "Bacterial small subunit ribosomal RNA", at positions 354 to 796 of the family's 1533-position model. The record is from RNAcentral.
GUGGGGAAUCUUGCGCAAUGGGCGAAAGCCUGACGCAGCCAUGCCGCGUGAAUGAUGAAGGUCUUAGGAUUGUAAAAUUCUUUCACCGGGGACGAUAAUGACGGUACCAGGAGAAGAAGCCCCGGCUAACUUCGUGCCAGCAGCCGCGGUAAUACGAAGGGGGCUAGCGUUGCUCGGAAUUACUGGGCGUAAAGGGCGCGUAGGCGGAUCGUUAAGUCAGGGGUGAAAUCCCAGAGCUCAACUCUGAAACUGACCUUGAUACUGGCGAUCUUGAGUGUAAGAGAGGUAUGUGGAACUCCGAGUGUAGAGGUGAAAUUCGUAGAAAGUCGGAAGAACACCAGUGGCGAAGGCGACAUACUGGCUCAUUACUGACGCUGAGGCGCGAAAGCGUGGGGAGCAAACAGGAUUAGAAACCCGGGUAGUCC